UACGGAGGGGGCUAGCGUUGUUCGGAAUUACUGGACGUAAAGCGCGCGUAGGCGGACCUGCAAGUCGGGGGUGAAAGCCCGAGGCUCAACCUCGGAACUGCCUUCGAUACUGCGGGUCUCGAGUCCGGGAGAGGUGAGUGGAAUUCCUAGUGUAGAGGUGAAAUUCGUAGAUAUUAGGAAGAACACCAGUGGCGAAGGCGGCUCACUGGCCCGGUACUGACGCUGAGGCGCGAAAGCGUGGGGAGCAAACAGG
Molecule: ribosomal RNA, 253 nt
Filed under: uncultured bacterium
Lineage: Bacteria
Description: partial 16S ribosomal RNA
Rfam family: Bacterial small subunit ribosomal RNA
Source: RNAcentral